This 253-nucleotide ribosomal RNA is filed under the name uncultured bacterium. Its description in RNAcentral is "partial 16S ribosomal RNA". It matches the Rfam family "Bacterial small subunit ribosomal RNA", at positions 524 to 776 of the family's 1533-position model. The record is from RNAcentral.
UACGAGGGGGGCAAGCGUUGUUCGGAAUUAUUGGGCGUAAAGGGUGCGUAGGCGGUUUGGUAAGUCUUAUGUGAAAUCUACAGGCUCAACUUGUAGUCUGCAUGAGAAACUGCCGGGCUUGAGUAUGGCAGAGGGGGGUGGAAUUCCGCGUGUAGCAGUGAAAUGCGUAGAGAUGCGGAGGAACACCGAUGGCGAAGGCAGCCCCCUGGGCCAAUACUGACGCUCAGGCACGAAAGCGUGGGGAGCAAACAGG